Small nucleolar RNA from Meriones unguiculatus (Mongolian gerbil), 133 nucleotides. Lineage: Eukaryota; Metazoa; Chordata; Mammalia; Rodentia; Muridae. The record is from Ensembl.
UUUGGACCAAAACAGCAUUGUACCGGUGGCUGCUGUAUCAUGAGUGCAUCAGUAGGUAGCAGAGAGGAGAGAGGCCAUGUCUACGCUCGGUGUUCUGACCUGUGAACAGCUGAAUGAUGGGUAGCCUAACACU